GGAGAAGUGACACCUGUGGCUGGGCUCCUUCCUCUAGGCUCUCCCCUCCGACUCCUCCCUGUGAAAUAAGAGAGUGGGGCUACAGGCAGCACAGGGUGGCCUGGACUCAGCCCCGCUGUGGUUUCUGUGCAGUGCAUGAAGAGUAAGGUGAACCCCAGAUGCCCACUCUAGGGCAGGGAGUGGGGACAGAAGACCCUGGCUGUAUCUGCUGAGUCAGCCAGCAGCCCACGACCGUGAAUGACUGUGUGGGAGAGGGUGUGCGUGUGCAAGCUGGUGAGCGCAUGUGUGAGUGUGUGCGAGCGGGUGCCUGCCUAUGCGUGGGUGAGGGUGUCUGCGUGUGCAAGUGUGCACCUGUGCAUGAGACUCUGUGUGAGUGUGUGUGGGGUUGUGGAAUGGUGCUGAGUGUGAGGUUAGGAAGAAAAAGAGACCUUCACAGACACAGCCAAAGAGAUACUGAGACCAAAAGAAACAUUUGGAGAGAGACUGACCCUGGAGAGAGGCCAGAGGCCGGGAAGCCAGAAUGAGAUGUGUAGAGCAGGAGAGAAGAGAAAGAAACCAAGAACGCUAAGGCUGGGAGACUGUGGUCCUGGAGCUGUUGGUGUGUAUCUCUGCUAUUACUUGGGAAGAGAAGACUUCAGAACAAAGCCAACACAAAGGAAAACCGAGGCAAGGUGCAGACAGAUUGCUGACAACAUCAUCUGAGCCCCUGGUGUGGCUGGGCCUGAAGCAACAUCCACCUCUGUUCUUUCCAGUUACAAGAGGCAACAAAUCCCCAUUUCUGCCUAAACCUUAGGUUGGGUUUCUGUCUUUUGCAAUAAAAAGUAUUGUUUAAUGGUAUCUGAAGCCUGUCUUUCCAAUUCACUAAUGAAAGCUUUCUUCCUUCCCAGGGAAAUGUCUGGGGGAAAGACUGGCAUUAGGUUGAAAGAAAUGGUGAGACUUCCUGCUGGCUGGUCCCAAUUCCCUCACUCCUGGAGAUAUCUUUAAGAAUUACAGUGCCGGCCGGGCGCAGUGGCUCACGCCUGUAAUCCCAGCACUUUGGGAGGCCGAGGUAGGCGGAUCACGAGGUCAGGAGAGCGAGACCAUCUUGGCUAACACAGUGAAACCCCGUCUCUGCUAAAAAUACAAAAAGUUAGCCAGGUGAGGUGGUAGGCGCCUGUAGUCCCAGCUACUCAGGA
This 1175-nucleotide long non-coding RNA is filed under the name Homo sapiens (human). RNAcentral's name for it is "HSALNT0221612". The record is from RNAcentral. Lineage: Eukaryota; Metazoa; Chordata; Mammalia; Primates; Hominidae.